GCGGAUGUAGCUCAGUGGUAGAGCUCCAGCCUUCCAAGCUGAUGGUCGUGGGUUCGACUCCCAUCAUCCGCUCC
Molecule: transfer RNA, 74 nt
Filed under: Holospora elegans E1
Lineage: Bacteria; Pseudomonadati; Pseudomonadota; Alphaproteobacteria; Holosporales; Holosporaceae
Description: tRNA-Gly
Rfam family: tRNA
About the family: Transfer RNA (tRNA) molecules are approximately 80 nucleotides in length. Their secondary structure includes four short double-helical elements and three loops (D, anti-codon, and T loops).
Source: RNAcentral